UGGACGGCGCCGUGCAUUCAGCGUGAUCGAAGGCGGCUCGUGGAUUCGGAUCGUGUGCUCGUGGAUUCGAGUGGUGUUUGUGGAUUCGGAUGUGAGCGAGGCGUUCGCGGAUUCGAACGUGAGGGUGUGGACAACCCGGAGGAUUGCGCGAGAUUCAUAUGAGGUUAAGAGAGGUCGAGUCCGUGGAGUCGGUAAUCACCUUGUAAUAUUUUCUCUUAGUGAAUUAUUUUUUUCGCGUGUUGGUCCCGUGGAUUUUUUAUUCCAAGUUUGAGUUUUCCCACGUAAAUCUCAGUGUGAUUUUUAUUUUCCGCAUCUACUUUUAUCGCAUUCAGAUUUGUGGUUUUUGGCCGUUACACCUAUUCACCCCUCUCUAGGUGUUUGAUACAAUCUAGAUAGAUUCUAGGGCUCCUCAUAACUUACACUCCCUCCUCCGCCACCUCACCCUCGCCCUCGCCCUCGCCCUCGCCCACCUCUCCGCCUAUACCCACCACCAUCUCCUCCCUACAAUCGCCGAAAUAGAGGGAUAGUGAGAGUGCUAGAGGAGCAAGGGAGCAGGUCGAGGAAACAGAGUCAGAGCUGGGGUUGAGGGAGGUGCGAGUGAGGGUGCGGGAUGAGCAAGAUUAGGGAGAAGACGAAAAAGAUUAAGGCAAGUUAGUUAUUUUGUCACACUGUACCCCCCUGCAAAUAUUUUUUUAUUUUUUAAGGAGGGCAAUGUGUAGGUUUUUGAAUGACAGGAGAAAAGUAAAAAAUUGAAUAUUGACAAGGGGGUUUCUGUAAUUUAACCAAUAUAUAUAUAUAUAUAUAUAUAUAUAUAUAUAUAUAUAUAUAUAUAUAUAUAUAUAUAUAUAUAUAUAUAUAUAUAGUAGGGCUACUAUGCUAUUAAUAGCACAGCUGCCCUCGUGCUCCUAAGUUUCUAACCAUCCAUCAAUUUUGAUGGGUGGUUAGGGUGAGAGAGAGAAAAGAAAUUUAGAAGAUAUUCAAAAAGAUAAGAAAUUGAUAACCUUAAUUUCUCUCUAAUAUCUCUUCUCUCUCUCACCUAUAUGUCAGUCCCCCGGAAAGGCAUUUGGACGCGUAACGCGCAGGCGAAGCCACCGAUAGGACCGGGAAUUCCUCUGUAGCGGACGUAGUCUCCCCAGUAGUACAAGGCGUGCAAUCCCAAAAUCACGAAUGUUUCAAAAGAAUAUAUAAUCAGAUUGCCUAAGGAAUACAAUAAUAAUCUAGCUUGCUAUUACACAUUCAUUUCACAAUCACGUUAACAUCAAUUCAGUUUACAUUUUUUAUUCCAAAUUAAAUCUCAAGUACUAAUAAGUUUCAAGUUGAUACAUUUUCUUUUUUGUUCUUAGACCUAAGCUAACUGUCUAGGGUACUGCUACGUUCGGUCUUGUGUGGGCGCUAUUACUGACUAAUGCCCUCGAUCGGCGCAGCGCCGCGCCGUACAUGAAUGGAACGAAUGAUAACGUCCCAAAACAAAGUGGGGUGAGAACAAUCAUGGUUCCAGUGGGUAACGGCACCAGGAAAAGCUCGACCGAUAGGUCCGAGGAGGCACUGCAACAUGUUAGUUCAACAAUAUACAACAGAUAUAUAUAUUCAAUUGAAAUACAUGACAUACCUCACAAUAUGCGAUAUGAAAAUCAUGCAACAACUAGUAGAUCAUUUGAAUUCUACUUUUAUUUGGCUACUUUAGCUCAUAACUUUACUCUAAGGUUUCUAUUACCUUAGGAUCACAACACCAACCACUAGCUUCUAAGGUUUCUAUUUACCUUAGGUCAAGCCUCUAUCUCUAGCUCAUAAGGGUUCCUCUACCCUAUCAUAGCUAACCACCCGACUCGACUUCGAGUCAAUCAUCUGCGGAUAGUCCGCGCACUGGCUGCUCAACAGCCUACCGCACUCUCUCUGACUCAGCCUCCCAGCGACGAAAUCGUCGCACACGCUGAACACGGCUCGAGCCACAAGACUUGACCAUCGGUGGCGAUCGCGUUGCACUUACCCAGCGUGAGCUCAAGACAUGACAUACUGUCUGGCGGCGAACGGGUGGCACCACACCCAACAACGGUCAUGUCAGACUCAGUCACCUGGAGGCACCCGCAUCGUACUUACCCAGCAUGGAUUCAGUCUACUCUGGCGGUCUGAUUCUCAAAUGGCUUAACCACUCUGGCGGCGAAAUCGUCGCACAAACGCCAGCACAAUGGUUCAAGCCCCGGGCGGUGAUCUCCAUAUGAUCGCCCCCAAUCUACCCACGGUACCGAGCUCGGCGGCGAAGUCGUCGCACGAACGCCCUAGCCUGUACCAGGGACAUCAUAAGUCCUGGGAUUCCGGAAUCCACUUUGCCACAGGUCGAGGGUCCAUAACAAACCCUAUACUGUCGACCUAGCUCAUCCUAGUGGUUAUACCACUAUACUCAUCAACCUAGGUUCCAAUACUCUAGGUUCUAUGUCAACAUCACUUAACCUAGAUACACUUGCUAGGUUCUUGUCAUCUUCGCCUAGAUGACCACUUCUAGGUUUACUAGUUCAACCUAGGUUUUACUAACACUAGGUCAAAUGCCACAUACCUAGAUUGUUCGACUCUAGGUUUACUAAUCAAUCUAUGUUCUUUAACACUAGGUUAGAUGCCACUCGAUCUAUCCGACAACCUAGUUGUCCAAUCAACUCUAUUUACACUAGAGUUAUCAUGUCACUUACUUAGCUCUCAUGAUGCUACUUUGCAUUCUCUACUUUAACUAGCAUUAUGUACAUGCUAUGCUCAUUAUGCUUUCUACUUAGUAUCUCCAUCUAUGCAUAAUUAAUACAUGCAUUCUUUACAUCAACUAGCAUUAAUUACUUAGCAUGCUUUCCAUUUAGCAUUUGCAUCUUAUAUUAAUCAUGCUCUCUACUUAACCUUUAUUAGCAUGGCUCUAUGCAUCAUUAUUUAACAUGCAUUUACACUAUGCAUUAUUAUCAUCAUGCAUUCCAAUUACUUGCUUGCAUUAUUCAUUUAUCAUGCUCAUCAUGCAUUCUUUACUUUACUUGCAUUUACUCUAUGCAUAUUUAUUAAUGCACCAUUUGGUCUUGUCUACAUGCACAUGCAUCAAUAUGAGAUUACAUUGCUAAGACAUAAAGGGCGACCUAGUCGCUUCGGUAAGCACAACCCACCUUUAACUCGCGUUCCGAUUGCUCGUCGACACUUGCAAUCGGCCUCCCGCGGCACUCGGCACCCUUUGGGCCCGACAAGCUCUUGCACCUCAACCGUGUUCCGCUUUACAAAUCCGGAAAUUAUAGGUCUUUGGUUAUGCGCCACGAUGCCACACGUCCGUUCCCACGAACAUACGACGCCGUCUCGGACCUACAGGCAAGAAUGAAGCCUCAAGGCUUAUUUCUUUAAUAACUUUAAAACGGCUCGACGAAUGCUCAAUCCGUCUUCGCCCACGCGUUUCUUGACCUAGCAAUUAGGUUUCCAAGCACUCAAAAUAGAUCAAAACCCCACAUUAGCAAAAUCCCCAUUUGGGAUGCCCUAAUGCAACAUAGGCUUAAUACCUCGGAUUUGAUCUAUAAAACAAGCAAAAGAAAGCUUGUUAAUCAUCUAGAAGCUCAUCUAGGAGCAUUCGAACUCAUUCUAGGGUGUUUAAAGCAAACCCUAGAAAUCCACCAUUAGAGCCUCAUGAAGAACACCAUGGAUUUCAUGUGUUCUAGGCCUCUACGAAGUUCUAAAGCUUGUAGGGAGAUCAAAAUCCAAAGAUCUAGGGUUUAAAAUCCAUUCUACAAAAAUCUACCAUGAGAGGCUUGGAAGCUUACCUCUCCUAGAGCUCCAAGGGAGAGAAGAAGAUGAAGAGGAUGAUGAUGGUGAUGAUCCUCUUCCUCUCCUCCAUCUUCUCCUUCUUUUCUUUUUUCUUCUUUUCUCCUUUUCCUUUCUUCUCUUCUCUUUUUUCUUCUCUUUUCUUGCAACCGGUUGAGAGAGGGAGAGAGACACGAGAGAGAGAGAGAGAGAACUGUGGGAGUGAGAGAGAGUGAGAUAAAACACUCUCUAAUAGUGUAUUGUAACAAUAUCCACCUAGCCUCUCAAUAUUUUCCGUUUUUCCAACUUAACCCACUGUUCUAGGUCCCUUGUACCGGUACACGGGCUCUUGUACCGGUACAAGGCCCGACAGACAGCCAAAAUCGAGAGCUAGCUCGCUCGGUUUCGCAGGUUUUGUACCGGUACAAGGCCCCCCUUGUACCGGUACAGCGCCGUAGCACUGUUCCGUGAUGGUUGUACCGGUACAGCCAUCAUGCUUGUACCGGUACAGCACCUGCAGAAUGCUAUUUUCACUUCUUUUCGGCUCUAUUUCGCGCCGCACGAUGUCAAGACCCUUCCAACUCCUUUGGAACUCACUUUUACUCUUCCAAUCAUGUUGGAAUACCAACGAAAACUUGUCCAUCCAUCUUCUUCGCAUACUUUAAUCGAUUUGGCUAAAGUUCGAUAAUUUCUUCCGAAACCUCGGGGGUUACACUAACCACCCAUCAAAAUUGAUGGAUGGUUAAAAACUUAGGAGCACAAGGACUGCUGUGCUCCUAAUAGCACAGUAGCCCUACUAUAUAUAUAUAUAUAUAUAUAUAUAUAUAUAGAGAGAGAGAGAGAGAGAGAGAGAGAGAGAGAGAGUGUGUGGGUAAAGCAAACUAAGUGUAUAUAGAAAGAUUAUGCACAGAAAAGCUUAUAGACACAGAACCAAAUGACAGCAUGUCACACCCCGAGGUUCCUUUGAAGUUUAAAAUCGAUGCAGAAGUGUCCAAAUUUUUAUUUUAUUUUUUUAAACCUUGACCACAGGGAAUGUCAGAUCAGCCAAAAAUACAGAAAAUCCACUGUUCACACGAACAAAGUCUCCACUAUAUUUGCACGGUGUCGCACAAGUAUAAGAUACAACCACAUCAUAUAAACAUCCAUAUACAAUCACCACAUCACAGAAACCAAUUCACAUUUAUUCAAUCACAAGAUUACAAUAUUUUCUUUAUAAAUUUACAUCUAUUAGUUUGAAACGUUUUCCACCCGGAAACUCAUUUUGAAAUACUAAAAAUCAUAAAAAGUGAAAAAUCCUUUCUAAAACCGUUUCCCACACGAAAAUCUUUUUCUUUAAAACAAGCUACCACGAGGGGUAGAAAAUCAUUUUCAUACUUCACAUGAAAACCACAAGUACUUUAUUUAACUUUCCAAAACCAUAUAUAUAUCCAACUGAAAAGAAACCAACUGAACUAUAAAAUAUCUAAGUUACAUUAUUCUAAAUAAGUAAGGAUAGAAACUAAACCAAUUUAAUCGGGACGGAAACUCUAUCGACCGCUACUAACGUGUCUCACGCCUCGUCGCACCCUCAUCGCCUACUUCACCUAAAAAAUAGUGGGGUUGAGAACAUGUAAACACGUCUCCCCUCCCAGUGGGUACCGCAAGUCGACGAAGGCGAGGAAUACUCACCGGUACAGAGAAAGAUAAUCAGAGUUAUGAGCAGAUAUCACAAAUACAGUAGCAAUAAUAACAAAAGGAAAGAAAAUAGUAAUAGAACAAAUAACUACCACUACUGUAAAGUCGAACAGAAUACAUACAUGGAUAUCAUAACUACAGUAGCAAUGAUGCAGGGGGUAAACAAUAGUAUAGAGGAAUGUAACUAGCUGCUACUGUAAUACAGAACAACGUACAAGUAUGGAUCAACGAGACGAUCAGUCCCAAAAAUACCCAAUCCAGAAGCUGCCAUAUCAGUCCAAAGACCUCAGGCUAUGCCACUACCGCUUUAGCAAGGAUGUGACCCGAGCAAUAGGCCGCUAGGGUCUCCCUGGCAUAGAACCCAACAAUAGGCCACUGAGCUCACAGGUAGGAUGUAUGACAACUUUUCCAAAAAAGAACACCCUCCUGAGGUGGAUCAGAUCGCUGGUGUAUGUGAAAUGCAUAUGAGAAAUGGCGAUCGAUGCAAUAUGCUCAAUAGCCCACUGUCGGCGAAUAGCCGAAGUAAAGUCCAACAAAGAGUAACUGACCAACUAAGUCAACCUCUAUCUCAAAGAUAGAACAAUAUCAGAGUAACCAACCAACCAGGUCAACCUCUAUCUCAAAGAUAGAAAAAUAUUACCAACCAAUCAUAUCAAAACAGUGCAGGUCAUGCAAUAGACCACUAGAAAUGGCACAGGCCACGAAGUCAACUAAUGUCAAAUCACAGCAUGUAUGAAUACGAGUGUCACUGACUACAAAGUCAACUAAUGUCAAAUCACAGCAUGUAUGAAUACGAGUGUCAUCGACUAGAAAGUCAACUAAUGUCAAAUCAUAGAUCAGUAUAAUCUAUAAUCAUCUGUCGGCAACUAGCCGACAAUCCUACCCGUCAGAGUAUACUGACCUCAUAGGUCAUCAAACGACAGAAGUCAUGUAACCGACCGACUAGGUCACAAGAGUGUCACAAUGGACGAGAUGCAAACAAUAUCCGCUCUACUUCUCGAAAAUGAUAACAAAUAUAGAAGAAGACUAAGUAGAGCAAUACAUAAAUGUUCACAUGGUGUCAGGUCCAAGAAUGGUAAACAACUGUAAUAAGAGAGAUAGAGCAGAGAGAAUAUCACCUAGCGUGUACCACUAGACCGACUCCGGAUCGAAGUAUCUACCUGUAUGAAUAACGCGCCUAUCUCGCGACUGUGGAAGAACAUCAACUAGACCUACGGAGAGUCCACCGGGUUAGAAUCCAACCCAUAAAUAUGAAAUACUAAACUCACAUCCCCACAAUUAAUCCCACGGGGAUCGGUUUCCCAAAACCGAUUACCGUUACUCGCCGGGAGUCCCGAAAAUCGCACUGGGACUCCGCCGGGACCCACGAAGUGUCCCGACACUCACUGACUCAUGCCAUGAGUCACCCAUUGCCACAAAACAUAUCGUUUUGGAUGUCUUGGCAGUAAACACAAGGUCAUAAAUCAGAACAAUUAUCGUCGGAUAAUCGUUUAGAUCCGGGUUCUCGGAAGUGUCAAUUUCGACACCAGAACCCACCAUUGCUCAUCCAUCAUCUUCGAACCCUCGAAACGACGUAACUGACUAGCCAACAAGGCUCAGUGACAAAUGUAAUGUGCUCGAACAUCGUCAGAAGGAAUCCGAACCGAAAUCGCGUUCCGUCGAUGAAUUUCGCCGAAAAACGCUCUGAAAAUCGAUAUUCGAUUUCCGCAAAGGCCUCGGACCUUGGAUAAUCAGUCCAGAGAUCACCCGCCACCCUCACCAACUACCCACAGUAGCCACGAAGUGAACAUUUGCAUAAAAGUCCCUACAAUCACAUAAAAUUAUAUUAUUUUAUGUGAUUUUUGGGGUUUUACUGCUUAACAGCACAAAUCAAAGGUUUUCGAGGCUGGCCGAGACACACAUUGAUAGGUCUCAACGUGCCGGAGGCCAUGCUCACGAUCCGGACCACUGUGGAGAGUGCGGGAGCGACACCAAGUUCAGCGAACUGCUCGCGCUGAACCUAAACCACGCUUACCUCGCAAACUGAGGGCUCGUUGACCCCAAAGGAGAUGAGCAAGAUGAUUGGCACUGAUCAUGAAUCAUCGUGCUCACUUCCGAAAGCAUCGGGGUGCCCUCGGGUCGCCGGAACAGCAAUCCGAACCGAAAAUAAUGCACAGAUAACAGCUUAAUAAAGCUUACCAUCUAGGGGGAGUUAGGGCACGGCCGGCGGCUGCGGGGCGGCGGUCGCGCCGGCGACGGGUGGGUGCGGCCGGUGGGUGGAUGCCAGGGCUCACGUCGGCUGGUGACGGAAGGUAGUGGCGGCGGUAGGCAAUGAUGCCCUAGCCGCACGGGUCAAGGAGGAGCUGGGCUCAAGUCCGACCGGCAGGGGGCUCCGGCGGCGGGGGCACCGGCGAAAAUAGGAUGCAGCCAACCAGGGGAAGCUGGCGCUCACACUAGUCAGCAGCGGUGGCGGCACGAAAAGAAACUGAGCCCGCACUGUCACGCCCCCGCCUCGAAACCCCUACCAAUUUGGCACGGUUCGGGCGCGGCGAACGUGCAGCAACUCCCCUGCUUGCCCAAGGCUCACAACCUGAUCAUGAACAAGAAUUUAACCAGAAAAAUUUAAAUUCAUACAUACACGAUCAACGGGGCGCAAGUGUAACAUACCAAAUUUUGGUAUAAAAAUAAAAAUAAAUAAAAAUAGUGUGAGAAACUAUUUUUAUUGGGUUUAUAGAAGUAAAGCAUAAGUCAGAAGUGACUUGUGCUGAAAUCGGAAUGAAAACAGAAGAUCUAGAAUUUUCUGUUGGAAACGGGACAGAGAAAUUAGCAGAAAAUGCACAGUCUCAGAAAAUUAUGAAAAUUGGAGGAUAAGUCAGAAAUAUUUUUAUGAGGCUAGAUUUAAAGUUUCAUAUUUUUCUGACACCCAUAGAGUGAGAAAUAAAAUCCGACAGUUAUCUGAUAAAGAUUACAGUUCGGUACGGUUUUCGGUGACCAAAUGACGUCGAAACUGGAAACUUAAAAUAUAUUCUUGCUCAGUACGUAAAACCGAACAUGACUGUCAAGUUUGAGCUCAAACGGACAUUCAGGGAGCUCCGGCGAAAGAUAUCAGAUUUCAAGCUGCCCGGGAGUGAAUAGUGUCGUGGGGGUAUUAUAAAGAAGCUGUUGCUUCUUCUUCUCCUUCGGCCGCACACCACACAUGCACACGACACACACACACACGCAAGGAAAGGGAAAGAGAGAAAACUCCUUUUCUCUCUCUAGAUCUCUCCCAAAAUUGAAGGUUUUGGUGGAGAAGCAAGCUUGGAAGUUGAUCUUCAUCUUCUUUAUCUUCUUCCUCUCCAUUAGAGCAAGCUUUGAAGGUAAGCUUCAAACCCUUUAAUGGCAUUUCUCUCUAGUUUGGUUUUUAAGCUCUAAGAAUGGAUUUAGAGGUAUUCUAGCAUGCUAAUUAGAGGUUUGAUGCUUGAAAUCAAGGCUCUAAUGGUGGAUUUUUACCUAUUGAAACCUAGAGCUCCAAAAUGAGGGCUUUAAUGGUAGAUCUCUAAAGAUAGGUCUAAAUGCUUUGGAAAUGGUUUUAGUGGAACCCAUUGAUGCCUAAUAGAUGAUUAAUGCUUGAAUCAUAGAGCAAUUUAAUGAUUUCUUGCAUAGUUGUAAACCUAGGGCUCAAAAUGCAAACUUUCAACAUAUGAGGGUUUGAUCUCAUUUGACCCUCCGUAAACCAAAUUGCUAGGUAACGAAACGCGUUGGCGAAGACGGUUCGGCAAUCCGACGAGCCGUUACAAAGUUAUUAAAGAAAUGGACGUUUAGGCUUCGGGUCCGCCGGGAGGGCCGAGGCGAUAUCGUAAAUUCAUGAAAAUGGAUUUGAAGCAUCGUGGCACAUAACCGAAGACCUUUAAUUUUCGGAUCGUGAAUUGGAGGCCGUUCGGGUGGUCGCGUGAGAGAUCGGGCCAAACCGGGUGCCGGGUGCCGCGGGCGGCCGAUUGCAAGUGUCGACAAGCAAUCGGAAUGCGAAAUGAGGUGGGUUGUGCUUACCGAAGCGACUAGGUCGCCCUUUAUGUCUAAGAAAUGAGAUUUCAUAUUGAUGCAUAUUGACAUAAUAUAAGAAUGUGAAAAGAAUGCAUGUUAACAUACUAUAGAAAUGCUAGAUGAAUGCAUAUGAUUAAUGCUUUGAAUGCAUAAUAUAAAGGGCGUAUGAAUGUUAGCAUUAUAAGAACAUCAUAAAAGGAAUGUAUGAUGACAUGUUGUAGAAUAUGCUAAAUGUAAUGCAUAAUGAAUUAAGUGCUAAAAGAAUGCAUGAGAUGCUAAGUAUGGACUAUUUUGGAUAAUGACUAUAUGUAUGUUGACAAAUCAUGUGAUGCUAGUGGUAUAUGUGCAUGAUGAUAUAUUAUGAAUUUACAUAUUGUGGAUUAUGUUAAAUAGAAAAACAUACUUGAUGACAUAUUGCCAUGUUGUGGAACAUAGUGGACAAUCUAUAUAUAUAUUAGAUCGAGUGGCAUUAAACCUAGCAUCUUGAACCUAGCAAACACUUGUGGUGAUUGAUCAUAUAUAUUCUGGUGUCAUUCAUGUAUGUUAGGACCCUAUUAUUGUGUAAAUGUGAGAGUUGGACUUGAACAUUAGUAAACAAGGGUGACAAUGACAAUAGAGACAUGAUUGGCAUCAAGAAAGUGAUUGUUAAACAUAGUUUAACCAUAUUGACAUUGGUCCAAGUUGACAUAGAGAGUGGCAUGAUUAAAUAGGUAGAGACCUAUCAUGACAUUGGCAUUGUGACGAGUGGCUAUGAAUCCUCAAGUUGAGGAUUGGAUCGAUACUCACGUUACGUCUUGGCUUGAGGGAGGUAGCUCCCCCUCGGGCGGUGCGCUCCGGAGUUGGUCACCACUGGGCGUGGUAAAGUCCCACCAGUUGACGGUCCCUAGGGAGGUUCGAGUCCCCCGUUAUUAAGGGAUUUGGUUGUGAGUUAUUGGGGUUAACAUGGUUAACCGGUAAGAUUGGGUCAUAGCCAAAUGAGUGUACAACAAGUAUGCAUUAUGAGUUAUGGAUUUGGUAUCCUAGUCGAGAGGAUUUAGGGCUGAGGUGUAUGUGAGACGUCCAUCGCCUCGAGCCUGGUUCUAGUGCGGUACUCCGCAGACGAUUGACUCAAGACCGAGUCGGGUGGUUAGCCUUGUAAAGGUAGAUGAAACUUUAUGAUUAAAACGGUGAUUGACAAGAAUCUAAGAUAGAGGAAACCUUAGAUAUCGAAUGGAUGAGCUAUGGUUAGCAGAAUUGAAAGUAGUGUCAAAUGAACUACUAGUUGGUUGCAUAGUUGCAUUAUUGCAUGAUUUGCAUAUAGCAUUGCAUUAUUGCAUUCGUGAGGCAAUGCAUGGUUUUAUUCGUUGCAUAAUCAAGAUAUAUAUCUAUCUGUUUAUUGAACUAACUUGCAGUUGCCUCCCUUGGACCUAUUGGUCGAGCUUUUCCCUUGGGUGGCCGUACCCACUGGGAACCAUGGAGUUGGUUCUCACCCCACGUGGUUUUGGGGUGUUACAGGUUCGCACGUGAGCGGCGCGGCGGCGCGAGGCGAGGGCGUAGCUCCAUAGUUAGCGCCCUACCACCGAGACCAGAGAUAGCGGUACCCUGAGUCGGCCUUACUUAGGGAUGUAAAGAAUGAAAAGAAUCAAGUUGUAAUAAUCAUGUUAAAUCGGAUUGUAUUUGGAAGUUAAGUGAAGGCUAAUGUAAGAACCAAUUGAGAAUUGUGAUGUAAAAAUAUAUGAAUAUGAAUGUAUGUAAUAAUAUAGGAUGUGUUUAUAUUGUUUGAUACCUUCCAUUAUGCAAUCUUGAUUGAAAUGUGUUCCUGGUUGGAACUUCGCACAUUGUUUUGAUUGCUAUGCCUUGAACGUACAGGGGAGACUCUGUCCGCAGUACAGGGGAAACCCUGUCUAUUCGGCGGUCUGUCGGCGGCGCCGCGAUCCGGCCAAAUAGGCGGGCGGUCGCGGGGCGUGACAGAUAAGAUGGUAUCAGAGCAUAAAAAGAACAUAAAAAGAAUAAUAGAAAAUGGUUUAGUUGGACCUAGGAAACCCUAGGAUAGUGAACCAUAGGAGAUUAAGGCUCGUGAGAGACGAGGACUUGUUUCUUUUGGCGAAAGGUUAAUUGAUUGGGUUAUGUUGUAAACCUCUAAAACGGAUGUUGGGGGUAGAUUCAAGGUGUGGUUUAUUCUCAACCGAGGGUGUUCAUGUUGGAUGCAUACAACAUGAAACCGAGUAAUGAGAAUAGACGACCUUGCGUGACUUUCGCCCGAUUUGAGUCGGUAUUAAGUGUUUCGUGUUCGACCUAGAAGGUCGAGGAUUAAUAAGGUCGUCGCGUUUUAGGGAGUAAUAGCAUCUCGUAGGCGAUCUUCAUUUAGAUCGGCGCGGGAUGGGCCAAGUGGUGUCCCUGGGCAAUUUGAGGCGAGCGGAGACUUGGAACUUCGCGAGUUUUGGCGUCCCUCGUGACUUUUGAGAAAUUAACGGGAUCCUCAUCGUGUUAAACCACUUUUGGUCGAAUUGACCAAAAUGUGUCGAGAGAAAUAGUUGCACAAGUUCCAAUUAGCAUUCCAACAAUGUUGGGAGGGUUAAAGUUGAGUUCCAAAAGAGUUAGAAAGGUUUUAGCAUUGCUCGGCGCGAGUUGGAGUCGAAGCGGUGCAAAAUCGAAAUUCUGGAACAUGUGUUACCGAUUUAACACCAGGGGGGUACCGGUAUAGCAUGGUUGUAACGAAGUGAAUUCUCGAGAGCCGAGAGUUGGACUUCGUUCAGGAUCGGCUAGUUGUUGAGUGGGUAUGUAAUAUACCGAAACUUCGGUAAGCGAACAUCGAACCUCAGUCAAAUUGACCAAAGAGCGAGGUUGGUACGCUUCGGAAAGGCCGAAGGCGUCAAAUAAUGCAAAAGUGCAUUACUGGGGAUCUUCGAGAGCUUUGGAAAUCAAAAUCUGCAAAACUGCAGAUUUUGUGCUCUCGGGGACCGGUCCCUGCCGGGAGAGACCGGUCCCCGCACUCACAGACAGCGAAAGGGAGGAAAAAUCGGCUAAGUCCUUGGUGGACAGCUCUCGGAGACCGGUCCCUGCUGGAGAGACCGGUCCCUGAGAGACCGGUCCCCCAAAGAAAGACCGGUUGCAUCGGGUGUGAGCUCUGCUGACUGCGGGGAGAAGCUCUCGGAGACCGGUCCCUCGUCGGGGACACCGGUCCCCGAACCCGAAAAUGGCCCAGUCAGGGCAGUGUAAAAGAAUAAAAGUUGAGGGGCUUGUUUGCACUUAUGCAACAUGUGGGGCUAUGUGAGGGGUAUGAGAGCUCUUUUCUCUUAUUUCUCACCCACACACCCUCUCAUAUCUCUCUUUCUCUCUCUAGCAGACAAGAAGAGGAAGAAGAAAGGAAAGGGAAGAAAAAGAAGAAGAGGGAGGUCUUCCUCAUCUUCCUUAUUUUCUCCUUGGUUGGAGCUUCUUUGAGAGGUAAGCUUCUAAGCUCUCUCCCAUGGUGGAUUUCUAGAGAUAGACUUGAUUGCUCUAGAAAUGGAGUUUUGUAUUAUGUGAGGGCGUAGUACCUGCCAGUACAGGUAUAGAGCCAGAUGGCACUAGCAAAGUGCUAGAAGUAAUUUAUGGCGAGAAGUGAGACUCGCGGUAGAAAUAGAAGCGUCGAAAUGACUCUCAAAGCAGUAUGAGUGGUAAAUUGCGAGAGUCGAGCCAUAACGCCUAUGGGCACCCGAGUAGUCCGAAAAUUUCGGAUGUCAUUCCGGUAAAUCGAACAGUGAAAGUAGCAUCACUUUUGAGAGAACGGUCGAUUAGUGGCCAAGUUUGAGCAUGUGGGCCUAGUAGUACCUCAAGGUGAGGUAGGCGGUUGUGCUCGUGCGGCCGGUGUGCAUAGGCAAGAUUGCCUAAUGCUGGACUUCGUGUGGAACGCUGUAGAGGCGUAGAGCGCUCGAGUGUAGAGACCCGCAGAGUACGGAUGCGUAUUCAGCCAAGUGAGUGAGUUGGCAGUAGCACUUGAGCAUUGCUAGGUGUGAAGCGUGCCAUGGAUCACUCGUGGGACUGGUGACUCGCACUAGGUGUAUAGGAGCCGAUAUUGGUACGUGUGACUCGGUAGAGUAUGUCGUGUAGGACGACGACGGCGGGUAGUGCUUGGGGACGACCCGUGCCUGGACCGUUUGUGGACUGUGGAGCCUGGGCCCAUUGGGCAGGCACAGUCAGCUGUGAGUGACAGCGGCCCGGUACCUACGGGUAGGGCGGAGUUCUAGUCAGGACGGUAGUCCGAGUUUAGGCCCGGGAGCGUGGAAUGCCACGCGAUAGAUUGUGUGACCGAUGGUACACCGAGUAUGGUUGUGACCCAACCCGAUGACUUGACGUGGUUUGGGGUCUUAGUUGCUCCUGGUUGGAGUGUGUGCGAAUUCCCAAGUGAGAAUUUCACCCGAUCAUGAUUGGGUCUACAUUUGCGAACGAGAGACGCUGCGUAUUGAGACAGGUUUAAGCUGUAAGCCUACGUAGGAUUGGUGGCCUUUGGUCCACCGGUGGAGACCGACAAGAGCGAUUUGGCAGAUAGCCUUAUCGAGGAGUUUGACUCGAAUUCACGAACGAAGUGCUCGCGUGAGCUCGUUGCGAGAAUAGUUUGAUGUUGAUCGUGGCAUGUGGUAUCAGAUGAUGAAGUACUCUUUGUGAGACAUCAAUCUAGUGGAAAGCCACAUGAUGUUGGAGACUAUGCUUGUAAGCGAACUGAGACUUGAGAUGUGCCGAAGUGGGCCAUCUCGCGUUAAAGUUAAGGGUCAGUGCAAAAUUAGAGCACUCAUGACGAAGCGAUGCAUCGGUGAUAUUGCUCCUAAGCAAUGUCGGUGAUCGAAUCAGAAUGUAUUCCCUGAAGGGAAGGUAAGUGCAAGAAAGAGUUCUUUGUGUACCGAAUGGCGAGUGGUGUUGGAGCGCGUAGAGUCGUCGAGUAUCGACUUACGCUGCCACCAUGACAUGCAAGACCCGUGAUGCACUUUUCUAUCACACCUUGCAAAUGUGUCUAGGAUUAAACCCACGUCCUUCAGUAUGAGCCGCUUCUGGAACCACGAUAGUGUGAAGCCGCUCCGGAGUGGGAAAAUAAGUUGGUACCCUCAAUUGCUCACAGAGCUGAAUUGAGGCGUGGUUUGAAUUUCGCGGACGAAAUUCUUUUAAGGGGUGGAGAAUGUAACAUACCAGAUUUUGGUAUAAAAAUAAAAAUAAAUAAAAAUAGUGUGAGAAACUAUUUUUUUUGGGUUUAUAGAAGUAAAGCAUAAGUCAGAAGUGACUUGUGCUGAAAUCGGAAUGAAAACAGAAGAUCUAGAAUUUUCUGUUGGAAACGGGACAGAGAAAUUAGCAGAAAAUGCACAGUCUCAGAAAAUUAUGAAAAUUGGAGGAUAAGUCAGAAAUAUUUUUAUGAGGCUAGAUUUAAAGUUUCAUAUUUUUCUGACACCCGUAGAGUGAGAAAUAAAAUCCGACAGUUAUCUGAUAAAGAUUACAGUUCGGUACGAUUUUCGGUGACCAAAUGACGUCGAAACUGGAAACUUAAAAUAUAUUCUUGCUCAGUACGUAAAACCGAAUAUGACUGUCAAGUUUGAGCUCAAACGGACGUUCAGGGAGCUCCGGCGAAAGUUAUCAGAUUUUAAGUUGCCUGGAGUGAAUAGUGUUGGAUGUUAAUGUAUAAAGAAGCUUUGCUUCUUCUUCUUCCUCCCAGCCGCACACACACACCCGCACACACACACACAACACACGCAUGGAAAGGAAAGGAGAAACCUCUCUUUUCUCUUUCUAAUUCUCUCCCAAAAUUGAUGAAAUUGGUGGAGAUUGAAGCUUGGAGAUGGAUUGCCUUCAUCUUCUUCAUCUUCUCCAUGGUUUGGAGCUAAUUGAGAGGUAAGCUUUAGCUACCCUUUAAUGGUAGAUUCUUAAUGGUUGGUUUAAAUACCUUAGAAAUGGAUUUAGAGGAAUCCUAGCAUGCUAUCUAGAUGAAUGAUGCUUGAUUCAUGAAGGAAUUUGGUGAAUUUUUAUCUAGUUGUAAACCUAGGGUUCAAAAUGCUAAUUUUCAAAAUAUGAGGGUUUGAUAUAAUUUAACCCUCUGUAAACCUAAUUGCUAGGUAAACGAACGCGUUGGCGAAGUCGGUUCGGCGAUUCGUCGAGCCGUUGCGAAGUUAUUAAAGAAACGGACGUUUAGGCUUCGUUUUCGCCUAGAGGGCCGAGGUAACGUCGUAUGCUCAUGAAAACGAAUUUGAAGCAUCGUGGCACAUAACCGAAGACCUUUAAUUUCCGGAUCGUGAAUUGGAGGCCGUUCGGGUGGUCGCGCGAGAGAUCACGCCAAACCGAGUGCCGGAUGCCGCGGGAGGCCGAUUGCAAGUGUCAACAAGCAAUCGAAAUGCGAAAUGAGGUGGGUUGUGUUUACCGAAGCGACUUGGUCGCCCCGCAUGUCAAAGCGAAAUGUGGAAUCUUGUUGAUGCAUAUGUGUAUGUGCAUACGGGCAUAUUAGCAUUGUAUAAAUGCAUGCUAGUUGGUAAUUUGCAUAUUAGUAUGUAUGCUUAGUGAAAUACAUGCUAGGAGCAUUUAGCAUUAUGAGAUUCAUGUUGACAUGUAUUAGAGAACGUGAGCAUAUAAAUGAAUGUUAACAUGUUGUUAAUUAUAUGAGUUAUGAGAAAUUGCUAAAUGUGGACACAUGUUAGAUGACAAUAAGCAUAUUGACAUUAUGAAAAUGCAUACUAUAGGAUAAUUGCAUAAUAAUGCAUUGGGAAAGUACAUGCUAGUUGUAAUGUAUGUUGGCAUUGAGAUGAUGUGUGUAGUUAACACUAAAAGAAUGCAUGUAAAUGACAUGAUGUACAACCUAGGCAAAUGCUUGGUAUGGUUGCUAUUUAAUAAUUAUCGUAGAAUGCAUGAUGAAUAUGCUAUGUAAAUGCUAGAUGAUUGCAUGAAUUGGAUCGAUAACUCUAUAAUAGAGACCUUGACAUUGGACAUCUAUAUAUUAGAUCGAGUGGCACUUAACCUAGAGUCGGGAACCUAGGUUGAACAUGGAUGAUAUGAGCCUAGUGUGAAUAAACAUAGGUUGGACAUGAACCUAGUGUCAAAGAACUUAGGUUGGAAUCAUGUGUGGCAUUAAACCUAUUGUUAAAGAACAUAAGUCGGACUUGGACAAUAGUAAACAAGGGUGACAAUGAAAAUAGAGACAUGAUUGGCAUCAAGAAAGUGGUUGUUAAAUAUAGUUGAACCAUAUUGACAUUGGUCCAAGUUGACAUAGAGAGUGGCAUGAUUAAAUAGGUAGAAAACCUAUUAUGACAAUGGCAUUGUGACUAGUGGCUAUGAAUCCUCAAGUUGAGGAUUGGAUCGAUACUCACAUUACGUCUUGGCUUGAGGGAGGUAGCUCCCCCUCGAGCGGUGCGCUCCGGAGUUGGUCACCACUGGGCGUGGUAAAGUCCCCCCAGAUGAUGGUCCCCAGGGAGGUUCGAGUCUCCCGUUAUUAAGGGAUUUUGGUAGUGAGUUAUUAGGGUUAAUAUGGUUAACCGGUAAGAUUCGGUCAUAGCCAAAUAAAUGUACAACAAGUAUACCUUAUGAGUUAUGGAUUUGGUAUCCCAAUCGAGAGGAUUUAGGGCUGAGGUGUAUGUGAGACGUCCAUCGCCUCGAGCCUGGUUCUAGUGCGGUACUCCGCAGACGAUUGACUCAAGACCGAGUCGGGUGGUUAGCCUUGUAAAGGUAGAUGAAACUUUAUGAUUAAAACGGUGAUUGACAAGAAUCUAAGAUAGAGGAAACCUUAGAUAUCAAAUGGAUGAGCUAUGGUUAGCAGAAUUGAAAGUAGUAUCGAAUGAACUACUAGUUGGUUGCAUAGUUGCAUUAUUGCAUGAUUUGCAUAUAGCAUUGCAUUAUUGCAUUCGUGAGGCAAUGCAUGGUUUUAUUCGUUGCAUAAUCAAGAUAUAUAUCUAUCUGUUUAUUGAACUAACUUGCAGUUGCCUCCCUUGGACCUGUUGGUCGAGCUUUUCCCUUGGGUGGCCGUACCCACUGGGAACCAUGGAGUUGGUUCUCACCCCACGUGGUUUUGGGGUGUUACAGGUUCGCACAUGAGCGGCGCGGCGGCGCGAGGCGAGGGCGUAGCUCCAUAGUUAGCACCCUACCACCGAGACCAGAAUAGCGGUACCCUAAGUCGGCCUUACUUAGGGAUGUAAAGAAUGAAAAGAAUCAAGUUGUAAUAAUCAUGUUAAAUCGGAUUGUAUUUGGAAGUUAAGUGAAGGCUAAUGUAAGAACCAAUUGAGAAUUGUGAUGUAAAAAUGUAUGAAUAUGAAUGAAUGUAAUUAUAUAGGAUGUGUUUAUGUUGUUUGAUACCUUCCAUUAUGCAAUCUUGAUUGAAAUGUGUUCCUGGUUGGAACUUCGCACAUUGUAUUGAUUGCUAUGUCUUGAACGUACAGGGGAGACUCUGUCCGCAGUACAGGGGAAACCCUGUCCGUUCGGCGGCCUGUCGGCGGCGCCGCGACCCGGCCAAAUAAGCGGGCGGUCGCGGGGCGUGACAGCAAGUAGUGCCAACAACGAAGAGCAAGAAUCCACUGGUGCAUACAAGUGAAAUAAAGAGAGUUUUACUAAUCAUUACAUUACUUGCAUCCAUUCUCUUACAUUUACAUUUUUUUCCAAAAUGAGUACAUGUCUACUAAUGUCAUCAAAAUACAUAGCUCUCCAAAUCCUCACCUACAUGAAUCUUUCUCAAUACAUAGGUGUGCUAAUGCAAAAAGAAAGCUACUACAUACUACUGCUCGGGCGCGAUGCCCUUGCCGCGGUCCUCGCCCGGCGAACUGGUACUAGGCCCUGGAAGUAAAGUGGGGUGAGAACUAUCUUCCAUAGUUCCCAGUGGGUUCGGCCGCCGACUCCGUCGAUCUUCCCACUAGGUCCGAGUGGGCAAAAGCAGGUAGAUAGAUAGAUAGAUAUCAAAGUUGUAAAUGACAUAAUAGAAAAACUAUGCUACUAUGCCCAAAGUCAUGUAUCAUGCAUGCAUGUAUCAUGUAGUGAAAUGUCACCUACUAUACUACCAUGUCCAACCAUAAUGUCCAAUAAGCAAUGUUCAAUUAACGAUGCUAUACUCUUGUUCAAUCAAUCCUUGGUGUUCCACUUGGGUUCGCCCACGACUCACCUCAAACCUCGUGGUAAAGAGACGCACCUCGCUCUUAAACCCGGAGCCGUCUGCAGGACAUCAACUCGUCCCUCUCGCACCAAACUCCGAAGUGCACGAAGACUCGGGUGGAGCGACCACCACAAGUAUAAACAGACUGUGAGUAUGAUCAAUCCUCUUAACUCGAGGAUACCCUAUCAACUCUAGGGUUACAAGUUACUCGGGAAUCCACCUAUCCCAAUGUCCAAAUACUAUGUUUGGCCUCAUCAUGUGUUUAUGCAACAAGUUAUUUUCUAGGGAAUCCACCUAUCCCUAAGUUCACAAGUCUCUAGUGUUAUUUACACUAAGUCAUAUACCAUUCGUCAUGUCUUUACAUUCAUCGAGUUCAUCUCUUUUCCUCGGCACUAUAGGAUUCAAAUGUCAAGACCCAAUCCUCAUCUAGCCAUAAUCAUGCAUUUCUACUCAUACAUCGAUGUCAAUAGCAAGCAUAAGGAAUGGAAAUACGAUGCAAUCCUACAAUGCAUAUGAAAGAGAUGCAAAUCAUAAAUGCUAAGACAUAGAAAGGAGCCCGGUUGCUUCGGGAUGACGCCACCUACCUUUCGAUGAUGUGGAGGGUUCAGAAAUGCUAUUCGGCGCACUUUACGACGAGGUCUCUACCACCUAGGUAGAAAUAAAGCUUAUUUAAUAUCAUUUGCCCAUAUCUUUUUUUCCGCUUGACGAAUAGCAAUUCCGACUUCGCCAACGCGUUUAAACACCCACCAAUUAGGUUUAGACGCCCUCAAAUGAGAUCGAUCCCAUCAAUUUCUAAAAACCCCAAAUUUUGGGUGCCCUAGGGUUAACAUCAUGCUAUUAGUACCAUAGAACCCUAGAUUCUAGCUCUAAUCCACUACUAUGGGUGCUAGAUGUCCAUUUGACCUCAACUCAAAAGCCAAAAACCCAAAAAUCCUAAGCUUUACCAUACUAGGGUUCAAGAGCUCACCUCUAGGUUAGCUUCAAAUGGAGAGAAGAGGAAGAGGAAGAUGCUCCAAGCCUUCUCUAGCUUGCUCUCCUCCUUCUUCUUCUUCUCAUUCUUUUUCUUCUUCUUCUUCUCCUUCUUAUCUUCCUCUAGAGAGAGAGAAGGGGAGGAAUGAGAGUGUGAGAGUGAGGGGUGAGAAUGAGAGAGAGGAGAAGGCUCAGCCUCUCUAUACCUCUCAACUAAUGGCAUUUUGCAUAAAAGCCCCUCCACUUUACUUCUCUCAACCUAGGCUGCCUGGGCAAUUUUCGCGCGGAGGGACCGGUCCCUGGUCGGGAGGACCGGUCCCCAAGAGCAUUCCUCCAAUUCUCGCGUACAGGAACCGGUCCCUGCCCGAGAGACCGGUUCCUGGGAGACCGGUCCUUUCCUGAGAGGCCGGUUCCCGAGAGUGGAAUUCUCAGGACUUAGCUAAAUUUUUGUUGUCUCGCUGGUUUCGGUUAUGGGGACCGGUCCCUCAGCCCUAGGGACCGGUUGCAUCAAGCAUCCCCACAACCACCAGCUACGGGGACCGGUCCUUCCCUACCAGGGACCGGUCCCGAAGAGCAGAAUUAGCCAAAUGCAUAUUUUUGCAUCUUUUGCUCUCGCGGACUCGACUCCAAAGCACUUUUUGUGUUUUGGACGUCUCUAGUUCUCCGAAGCCUACUCGCUCGACAAUUAGUCAAUUCUGGACGAAGUAUAACUCUCGGAUUUCGAGAAUUCACUUCCUAACAUCCUCCCCUCCUUAAAAGGAGUUUCGUCCUCGAAACUGAUUCAAUUUAAUUAAAACUCAGUUUCUAUACCUCAUUCCUCAAACAAGUGAGGAUGAUGCUUUCUCAUUAGAUCCUCGAGUUCCCAGGUGGCUUCGCGAUCAUCAUGAUUGCUCCACCAGAUCUUCACGUAGGGAAUCUCGUGAUUUCGCAGCUUUCGCACUCUCGGGCAAUGACCAUCACCGGGAAUUCUUCAUAGCUCAAGUCUUCUUGGAGCUCCGGCAGUUCAUAUAGCAUCGCGUGCUCGGGGUCAUGAAUGUACUUGCGAAGGUUGGAGACAUGGAACACAUUGUGUACAUCCGCGAGCUUCGGCGGCAAGGCAAGCCGAUAAGCUACCGUGCCAACUCGCUCCAAUAUUUCAUAGGGUCCAAUGUACCGGGGACUCAACUCUCCCCACACUCUAAACCGCUUCACACCCCGCAUUGGGGAAACCUUUAAGAAUACGCAGUCGCCAACCGUGAAUUCUAUGUCUCGACGGCGCCUAUUUGCAUAGCUUUUCUAUCUCGACUGCGCCGUGAGCAAUCGCUUGCGAGCAAAGCGGACUUUCUCCUCCGCUUCUCAGAACACGUCUCGGCCGAACUCUGCACGCUCGCCCACAUCGCUCCAAUGUAUAGGAGACCGACACUUCCGCCCAUAAAGAGCCUCGAACGGUGCCAUCUCUACACUAGUAUGAUAACUAUUAUUGUAGGCGAACUCGGCCAUCGGCAAAUGAUCACACCAACUUCCUUUAUAGUCUAAGACACACGCUCGCAACAUAUCCUCCAGAGUUUGAAUAGUCCUCUCCGUUUGCCUAUCUGUCUGAGGAUGAAAUGCUAUACUAAAAUCGAGCCAUGUGCCAAGGGCUUCCUGCAGGCUCUUCCAAAAGUGCGAAGUGAACCGGGGGUCACGAUCCGACACGAUCGACUUCGGUACCCCAUGUAGUCUCACUACCUCAUCAAGGUACACUUGCGCCAGUUUGUCACCCGCCCAAGUGGUGUGAAUCGACAAAAAGUGAGUUGACUUUAUCAAUCGAUCCACAAUCACCCAAAUUGCAUCAUAGCCGCCUCAUGAACGAGGCAAGCCGACCACGAAAUCCAUCGAUAUAUCCUCCCAUUUCCAAACGGGGAUUGGUAGGCUUUGAAGCUUACCCGCUGGAAAUCGACGCUCGGCCUUUACUUGUUGGCAUACUAAGCACUUAGCCACGAAGCGUCCAAUAUCACUUUUCAUUUUCGGCCACCAAUAGUGCAUUUUCAAUCCUUGAUACAUCUUGGUGCCGCCCGGGUGAUCACAAUAAGGCGACCAAUGUGAUUCUUGCAAGAUUAGCUUUCGGAUCUCCUCGUCGUUCGGCACACACCGUUGAUUUCGAAAUCGAAGUGCACCACUGGCGUCCACUGUAAAGUCGCCGCCACGACCCUUCUCGAUGUCGCACCGCGCCUUUUAGAGUUCUGGGUCCGCGGGUUGCAGAUUCUUGAUUCUCUCCAAUAAGGUCGGUUGGACAACGAGCGCCAUCAGCCGAGCCGGAAUCUUUCACCGGGUUUAGGCCGCCAACAGCCGCCGAACGGACAGGGUUUCCCCUGCGCUGCGUACAGAGUUUCCCCUGUACGUCCAAGGCGUCGCAAUUAAUACAAUACACGAGGUUCCAAUCAGGAACAGUAUUCAAGCAAAGAUUGCAUAAGGAAGUGUCAAAAACAUAAAUACAACUAUGCUAUUACAAGCAUUCAUCCCAGUUUUAAACUUACAUAUUACAAUUUGUUUUCUUCCAAAUACAAUCUAAAUUAUUACAACUUUUACAAUUUUGUUACAAUUUUCCUCUUUUCAUUUUCUAUACCCCUAGGCUAUGCCGACUCGGGGUACUGCUAUCUCUGGUCACUGUGGUAGGGCGCUAUCUACAGAGCUACGCCCUGUUCUCGCGCUGCAGCGCCGCUGACGUGCAAACCUGUAACACCCCGAAGCAACGUGGAGUGAGAACUAAAUCCAUAGUUCCCAGUGGGUACGGCCACCCAAGGGAAAAGCUCGACCCGCCAGGUCCAAGGAGGCAACCAACAUGUUAGUCCAACAGAUAGAUAUAAAAUCAUAUAAUUUAUGUAACUAACAUUUAACAUGCUUUUGCCUUACAAAUGCAAUAAUGCAGAUUAUGCAACCAUGCAGCUAAUGCACAAACUAAGUAGAUCAACCGAUUCUACUAUCAUCUAGCUAUCAAUAGCUAAUCAAACUAGCUUCUAGGGUUUUCCUCUACUUUAGAUCCAUGUCAUUUACCACUAGCCUUUAAGGUUUCAUCUACCUUAACCAUGCUAGCUAUUAAGUCUGGUGUGUUGGCAAGUUUCAUAGAUUGAGUCAGAGUCUUGAAGGAUCGGUGCGUAUCGUCGAAAAUCGAAGAAUCCAAGACUUCGGAGAAAUCGGAAAAUAACUCACGAUGUGAAUCACGAUGCUCAGGUAAGGUUUUAAUUCAUGUUAUGGUGAUUCAUACUUAGUUAUAGACAUUAAAAUCAGAAAAUCAAAAUUUAGUGGAUUAGAAAGUGCGUCGGAACUUUGCGAAACCCGAAACGUUGCAAAAAACUGAAAACUGCAAAGUGUACCGGUACAACAUUGAAAGUGUACCGGUACAAAAUGUGUUCCGGUACAACCAUCAACAUGUAACCAGUUUCAGUGCUUCGUUGGUUUUCUCUUCCGUCAUCGUGUAACCGGUAACAACUUAAAAGUGUAUCGGUACACAAUGUAAAAAUCUGAAAACUUUCUGAUCCGACUCCAAUUGAUUCUAAAGUCUAUAAAUAAGCUAUUGGGAUUCUCUAACACAUCAAGCAUCACGAAAAUACAUAUUUGAGAAACCCUAGAGGCUCGGAUUUUAUCUAAAACCUAUUUUCUAUAUAUUAGCCUCUUUUAGGUCAAAUCGAGAUAUUGUAAUUCAAUAUCUAUAUGUCGAUUUGAUCUCUUCUUCGCUUGGAGCUUUCUUCCCUCGUUUUCAUCAAUACUCUAAGUGAAAGAUCACCAUACUCAUGAUGCUCUUCAUGAACGGCGUCGUGGAUUCGGCGUGAUCAAGGGAUUCGAGGAUUCGGAUCGAAAGCUUUGUGGAUUCGAAGUGGUAGAGCUUCGCGGAUUUGGAGUGGAGGCGUUUCGUGGAUUCGGAACGUGGCAUUCGUGGAUUCGAACGUGAGGGCAUGGACAACCCGGAGAAUUGCGCGAGAUUCAUAAUAGGUUAAGAGAGGUCGAGUCCGUGGAGUCGGUAAUCAUCUUGUAAUCUUUUCUCUUAGUGAAUUAUUUUUUCGCGUGUUGGU
Molecule: long non-coding RNA, 23484 nt
Filed under: Ananas comosus (pineapple)
Lineage: Eukaryota; Viridiplantae; Streptophyta; Magnoliopsida; Poales; Bromeliaceae
Description: long non-coding RNA (ACOM_LNC010295)
Source: RNAcentral